AGUUCCUGCUUGAUAUUACUGCAUGCGACUGUAUUUAUGUUGCUUAUGUUUUCAUAACUAUUUACGUUACUUUUGUGGGAGUACCUAUGCUUUAUUAGUUGAUUUUGUCUUGCUUGUGUUUCUAAUUUUAUCUCUGUUUCUUAAUGCAGCUUUCCCAUUUUACUCUACUCGCCGAGGGUCGAUUCGAAGCAGCCUCUCUGCCCUUUCGGGCAGGGGUAAGGCUCGUCU
Molecule: long non-coding RNA, 228 nt
Filed under: Nicotiana benthamiana
Lineage: Eukaryota; Viridiplantae; Streptophyta; Magnoliopsida; Solanales; Solanaceae
Description: long non-coding RNA (NBEN_LNC009240)
Source: RNAcentral